UAGACGGCCUUAGAAGCUUCGAGGAUAACAUAACGAAAGAGAUUAGAAAACAAACACAAAGCGGGAAAACACAAUUGUUGGAUAAUUUUAGAAUACUGGAUAACAAAGCAGGACACGGACUUAGGUCUCCUUCUGUUCUUCAGCAGGCUUGGGUGCUGCAUCUUCUUUGAUCUCCUCAGUACUUUCGUCCUGGUUAAUAUCAUUCAAACAAACACAUCAUAACCAUAUUUGAACAAGGAAGGAUGAGCGAAUCAAUAUCAUAAUGCAAAAAGUUGACCAUUUAUGAACAAUGUUGGUGGUCAAUUCUAGGAAGAAAGAAAGAAAGUUUAUCAAGUUUCAAGGGUUAAAAUAUUAGCUGUUACCUGCAUGUCGGAAGUCCAGAGAGUAAGGUUGUCACGGAGAAGCUGCAUGAUCAAGGUACUGUCCUUGUAUGACUCCUCGCCUAGAGUAUCCAACUCAGCAAUUGCUUCAUCAAACGCCUGUUAAAAAUCCCAAAUUCUCACCUCGUCAAUUACACAUACAUAUAGGUACAUGACAUGAACUUUGUAUACGUAAACGAGAUCAGAAAGUUUUCAUUACCUGCUUAGCGAGACUGCAAGCACGGUCUGGAGAGUUGAGAAUCUCAUAGUAAAAGACAGAGAAGUUCAAGGCCAGACCAAGACGGAUCGGGCACACAUUUUGAAUCUUUUUUGGGGUCGGUCGCUAGUAAUGACCGCACUAUAAACGUCUACAUAUCUAUAAUCGUCAAAUGCUCCGCUUAAAAUUGGUAAGUAAACCUAAGCAAACUGGGGGCAAAACACUGUGAAUUUGGUUUCCGCAAGCUGUUCCAAGGUAUUCUUUCAUUACUUGGCUUGUGAUCAAAAACCGUUUGUCAACUGGUGAUCGUAUGAGGAUUUGGGGUGCCCAUCAGGAGUGCUUGCUGUGUGGGGGGAGAAGAACGAAACUAGAGAUCAUCUCUUUUUCGCUUGUCCUUACAGCUACAUGGUUUGGAUUCUAGUAAUAUGGAGACUUCUUGGAAGCCAAAUAACUCCCAAUUGUCAAGACACUGUUACAAGGAUGCAUCGUUGUCGUGGCUCUAAUCUAGAUAAAGUUUUGGAGAAAAUAGCUUUUUAAAUGAUUAUAUACCAUAUAUGGCGAGAGAGGAAUGCACAAAGGCAUGGCAAAGCUUGGAUACCGAUGGAAAAACUAGCACAUCAGAUUGAUAAGACUAUGAGAAACAAAAUAUCAUCUCUGAAAUAUUUGUAUGGGAGCAAAUUAGAGGGUCUACUGAGGCGUUGGUUUGAAGUCACAAGCUGAAUUUCAGUUUUGUUUAAAUCAUUCAUAGGCUUUUUUUCAUUUAAAUUACCGCUUAGAAGCUAGCUAGUUAACUACAAUUGAUCAUGUAAAUUCCUAUUCUUUGUUCAUUAUCAAUAAAUUUGAAAGUUCAUUAAAAAAAACCUACAAAUAUGUGUAAGAAAAACAUCACAAAAGAACUGACAAAUCAUUAAUACGAAGAUGAUAUGAAUUCAGAACAAGGCACAAGCCGAAAUGCAAUGAAUAAGAAAAUAAAACCAGAUAAAAAUCCAGCAGCAUCCAGGAUUAGGAAGAGCAAACAAAGGACAAGAAUAGACGGCCUUAGAAGCUUCGAGGAUAACAUAACGAAAGAGAUUAGAAAACAAACACAAAGCGGGAAAACACAAUUGUUGGAUAAUUUUAGAAUACUGGAUAACAAAGCAGGACACGGACUUAGGUCUCCUUCUGUUCUUCAGCAGGCUUGGGUGCUGCAUCUUCUUUGAUCUCCUCAGUACUUUCGUCCUGGUUAAUAUCAUUCAAACAAACACAUCAUAACCAUAUUUGAACAAGGAAGGAUGAGCGAAUCAAUAUCAUAAUGCAAAAAGUUGACCAUUUAUGAACAAUGUUGGUGGUCAAUUCUAGGAAGAAAGAAAGAAAGUUUAUCAAGUUUCAAGGGUUAAAAUAUUAGCUGUUACCUGC
This 1971-nucleotide long non-coding RNA is filed under the name Brassica napus (rape). RNAcentral describes it as "long non-coding RNA (BNAP_LNC007672)". Lineage: Eukaryota; Viridiplantae; Streptophyta; Magnoliopsida; Brassicales; Brassicaceae. The record is from RNAcentral.